Molecule: ribosomal RNA, 497 nt
Filed under: uncultured bacterium
Lineage: Bacteria
Description: partial 16S ribosomal RNA
Rfam family: Bacterial small subunit ribosomal RNA
Source: RNAcentral
GACGAACGCUGGCGGCGUGCCUAAUACAUGCAAGUAGAACGCUGAAGAGAGGAGCUUGCUCUUCUUGGAUGAGUUGCGAACGGGUGAGUAACGCGUAGGUAACCUGCCUUGUAGCGGGGGAUAACUAUUGGAAACGAUAGCUAAUACCGCAUAACAAUGGAUGACACAUGUCAUUUAUUUGAAAGGGGCAAUUGCUCCACUACAAGAUGGGCCUGCGUUGUAUUAGCUAGUAGGUGAGGUAACGGCUCACCUAGGCGACGAUACAUAGCCGACCUGAGAGGGUGAUCGGCCACACUGGGACUGAGACACGGCCCAGACUCCUACGGGAGGCAGCAGUAGGGAAUCUUCGGCAAUGGGGGCAACCCUGACCGAGCAACGCCGCGUGAGUGAAGAAGGUUUUCGGAUCGUAAAGCUCUGUUGUAAGUCAAGAACGAGUGUGAGAGUGGAAAGUUCACACUGUGACGGUAGCUUACCAGAAAGGGACGGCUAACUACGUG